This 46-nucleotide non-coding RNA is filed under the name Trichobilharzia regenti. The record is from RNAcentral. Lineage: Eukaryota; Metazoa; Platyhelminthes; Trematoda; Strigeidida; Schistosomatidae.
GUACUACUGAAGAGUUCCAAACUGGAACGAAACAAUUGUCUGGUAC